Molecule: ribosomal RNA, 505 nt
Filed under: Salmonella enterica
Lineage: Bacteria; Pseudomonadati; Pseudomonadota; Gammaproteobacteria; Enterobacterales; Enterobacteriaceae
Description: bacterial SSU rRNA
Rfam family: Bacterial small subunit ribosomal RNA
Source: RNAcentral
UACUGGAAACGGUGGCUAAUACCGCAUAACGUCGCAAGACCAAAGAGGGGGACCUUCGGGCCUCUUGCCAUCAGAUGUGCCCAGAUGGGAUUAGCUAGUUGGUGAGGUAACGGCUCACCAAGGCGACGAUCCCUAGCUGGUCUGAGAGGAUGACCAGCCACACUGGAACUGAGACACGGUCCAGACUCCUACGGGAGGCAGCAGUGGGGAAUAUUGCACAAUGGGCGCAAGCCUGAUGCAGCCAUGCCGCGUGUAUGAAGAAGGCCUUCGGGUUGUAAAGUACUUUCAGCGGGGAGGAAGGUGUUGUGGUUAAUAACCGCAGCAAUUGACGUUACCCGCAGAAGAAGCACCGGCUAACUCCGUGCCAGCAGCCGCGGUAAUACGGAGGGUGCAAGCGUUAAUCGGAAUUACUGGGCGUAAAGCGCACGCAGGCGGUCUGUCAAGUCGGAUGUGAAAUCCCCGGGCUCAACCUGGGAACUGCAUUCGAAACUGGCAGGCUUGAGUC